RNAcentral lists this ribosomal RNA (378 nucleotides) under uncultured bacterium. Its description in RNAcentral is "bacterial SSU rRNA". It matches the Rfam family "Bacterial small subunit ribosomal RNA", at positions 29 to 391 of the family's 1533-position model. The record is from RNAcentral.
AACGAACGCUGGCGGCGUGCUUAACACAUGCAAGUCGCGCGAGAAAGUGGGGGCAACUCCAUGAGUAAAGCGGCGCACGGGUGAGUAAUACGUAGGUAACCUACCCUUGAGACCGGGAUAACCUUCCGAAAGGAGGGCUAAUACUGGAUAAGACCACGGGGCUUAGGCUCUGCGGUCAAAGGUGGCCUCUGCACGCAAGCUACCACUCGAAGAUGGGCCUGCGCACCAUUAGCUAGUUGGCGAGGUAACGGCUCACCAAGGCGAAGAUGGUUAGCUGAUCUGAGAGGAUGAUCAGCCACACUGGGACUGAGACACGGCCCAGACUCCUACGGGAGGCAGCAGUGGGAAUCUUGGACAAUGGGCGCAAGCCUGAUCCAG